UACAGAGGUCUCAAGCGUUGUUCGGAUUCAUUGGGCGUAAAGGGUGUGUAGGUGGCGCCGUAAGUCGGGUGUGAAAUUUCGGAGCUUAACUCCGAAACUGCAUUCGAUACUGCGGUGCUUGAGGACUGGAGAGGAGACUGGAAUUCAUGGUGUAGCAGUGAAGUGCGUAGAGAUCAUGAGGAAGACCAGUGGCGAAGGCGGGUCUCUGGACAGUUCCUGACACUGAGACACGAAGGCCAGGGGAGCAAACGGG
RNAcentral lists this ribosomal RNA (253 nucleotides) under uncultured bacterium. RNAcentral's name for it is "partial 16S ribosomal RNA". It matches the Rfam family "Bacterial small subunit ribosomal RNA", at positions 524 to 776 of the family's 1533-position model. The record is from RNAcentral.